RNAcentral lists this ribosomal RNA (253 nucleotides) under uncultured bacterium. RNAcentral describes it as "partial 16S ribosomal RNA". It matches the Rfam family "Archaeal small subunit ribosomal RNA", at positions 474 to 727 of the family's 1478-position model. The record is from RNAcentral.
UACCAGCACCCCGAGUGGUCGGGACGAUUAUUGGGCCUAAAGCAUCCGUAGCCGGUUCUACAAGUCUUCCGUUAAAUCCACCUGCUUAACAGAUGGGCUGCGGAGGAUACUAUAGAGCUAGGAGGCGGGAGAGGCAAGCGGUACUUAGUGGGUAGGGGUAAAAUCCGUUGAUCCACUGAAGACCACCAGUGGCGAAGGCGGCUUGCCAGAACGCACUCGACGGUGAGGGAUGAAAGCUGGGGGAGCAAACCGG